GAUAUUUGUUGAAUCUUUACUCGACUCCAACCUCCACUAAUGGUCCGAAUGGAAUUGUGGGGCCUCGUUGGGACCUUGGUAGCUUUACAAUUGAAUUUCUUUUCUAAAAGCUUUCAAACUAUCAUGAACAUCUCACUUUCUCUCCCUAGAACGUCCAACUAGUGAGAAAGUGUAAUAAGGAAAGGUUUUUGAGGGUUUUAUGGUGAAAAAAUAGAAGAGCACAAAGAACUCUGUGAAAGGGUACACAAAAACAUGAAAAAUCGGGGUUAAUUCAAGGAAAUAUAUGGAAAUUCAAGGCAAGCUUCCAUGGGGGGG
This 315-nucleotide long non-coding RNA is filed under the name Theobroma cacao (cacao). RNAcentral's name for it is "long non-coding RNA (TCAC_LNC002355)". Lineage: Eukaryota; Viridiplantae; Streptophyta; Magnoliopsida; Malvales; Malvaceae. The record is from RNAcentral.